Molecule: long non-coding RNA, 578 nt
Filed under: Setaria viridis
Lineage: Eukaryota; Viridiplantae; Streptophyta; Magnoliopsida; Poales; Poaceae
Description: long non-coding RNA (SVIR_LNC008294)
Source: RNAcentral
GGUUCCCUGUCAGUUGUUUCUCUGUCAAAGUCGUUUGUGUUCUGCACUUGUGUUAGGCUCAGUACGUAGUUUGGUCUCUUGUUUGUCGCCGGCCAUGUCCAUGGUCGGGUUUGGGAAGACUGACGUUGGUUAGUACUCUCUCCGUUUCAAAUUGUAAGUCAUUCCAAGAAUCUUGGAGAGUCAAAGCAUCUCAAGUUUGACCAAAAUUAUAGAGAAAAAUAUAAAGAUUUAUGACAUCAAAUAGAUAUACUAUGAAAAUAUAAUUGAUAAAGAAUCUAAUGAUACUUAGUUGACAUCAUAAAUGUUAUUAUAUUAUUAUACAAAUUUGGUCAAACUUGAGAUGCUUUGACUCUCCAAGAUUCUUAGAAUGACUUACAAUUUGAAACGGAGGGAGUAGUAGGUUACUAGUAGAUGUAUGUAAGAGCUUUGGUUUCUGCACAAGCUGGUGUUGAUCCUCUUUAUCUGUAUGAUGGGAUGCGAAUCAAUCGAAAAGUUUCAGUGCAACGUUGUAUGCCAUCUGUGUUUCCUGCUAAUUUCGAAAUGAGUACACGGAAUGGGAUUCCCGUGCCCCGUCGUCC